RNAcentral lists this transfer RNA (72 nucleotides) under Lietzensia polymorpha. RNAcentral's name for it is "tRNA-Gln". It matches the Rfam family "tRNA". From Rfam's summary of the family: Transfer RNA (tRNA) molecules are approximately 80 nucleotides in length. Their secondary structure includes four short double-helical elements and three loops (D, anti-codon, and T loops). Lineage: Eukaryota; Eustigmatophyceae; Eustigmatales; Chlorobotryaceae. The record is from RNAcentral.
UGGGGCGUAGCCAAGUGGUAAGGCAGCGGACUUUGACUCCGUUACUCGUAGGUUCGAAUCCUCCCGCCCCAG